CUGUUCUAAUGCACUCUUUACAUAUCUUACGGAAUCCUCCCAGUGAGAUCUGUCUUCCUGAAGCAGGUUCCAAGAGGCUGACUUGCCAAAGUCAUGCAGAGCUGGGAUUUGGAGCCAGGUUUUUGACUCCAAAGCUCAUGUUCUUAACAACUUCAUGGUAUCGAAUAAAACAACAAAUACACAAAGGCAAUAAGGAUGGGCAGAGUUGUUUGGAUAUUGUCUAUCCCCUUCAACCAAAGAUGCCCGGGGACACGCUGAUACGAUUCUAGAAGAGCCACGGGGUGCCUGCGAGAGAGUGAAUCAUUCUUUAUUCAUCGAGUCAUUCAUUCAUGCAUGCCAUAGUCUGCCUUUCUUUGUGGAUUGCGGAUCUCGCAAAGCUACAAUGUGGAUGUGAAAAGGAGACAUUCACCUCUUCAUUUGCCCACCCACCAAACAUUUAUUGAUGCCUGCUUUGUGCCAGGAAUUAUGCUAAGUACUGAAGAUACAGAAUUGAAGGAUGCAUGGUCCUCAAGGAGACUCAUAGAAAAAAUAGGCUUGCAAACAAAUAAUUAUAUUUCAAGAUAUGAUACAGUUUGUAUGGAAUUACAAUCCAAUCAAGAUACGUCUGCGUGGACUAGUUCCAAGGUUGAAAUGUUAAAAGCAGUUUAUUAUUCCUCAGAGUGAUCAUUAUAUUGUAUAUUGUGAUUAUAGGCAAUAAAUUUAAUUUUUUUAGCAGUCUGAAUAUAACUAAUUAAAAUGAUACCAAAACAAUGUUGCUAAAAGGCUAAAUGAGGGUUGCUCUGAACAACUCUGCAAAAUAAUCUAUAUCACUCCCAUGUCCUUUUCCGGAUUAAUGCAACCAAUCCUAGUCCAG
Kogia breviceps (pygmy sperm whale) is the source of this 853-nucleotide non-coding RNA. The record is from RefSeq and is a predicted model, not a curated record. NCBI's taxonomy places the organism in Eukaryota, Metazoa, Chordata, Mammalia, Artiodactyla, Physeteridae.